RNAcentral lists this transfer RNA (75 nucleotides) under Chloroflexota bacterium. RNAcentral's name for it is "Chloroflexi bacterium (groundwater metagenome) tRNA-Gly". It matches the Rfam family "tRNA". From Rfam's summary of the family: Transfer RNA (tRNA) molecules are approximately 80 nucleotides in length. Their secondary structure includes four short double-helical elements and three loops (D, anti-codon, and T loops). Lineage: Bacteria; Bacillati; Chloroflexota. The record is from RNAcentral.
GCGGGUGUAACUCAGUGGUAGAGUGUCUGCCUUCCAAGCAGAUUGUCGUGGGUUCAAUUCCCAUCACCCGCUCCA